AGCGAACGCUAGCGGGCGGCUUAACACAUGCAAGUCGAGCGCCUGGUUUCGGCCAGGAGCGGCGGACGGGUGAGUAACACGUAGGUAUCUGCCUCCGGGUGGGAAUAACUGAGGGAAACUUCAGCUAAUACCGCAUAUGGUCUACGGAUCAAAGCCUUCGGGCGCCUGGAGAUGAGCCUGCGGCCCAUUAUUUAAUCCUAGUUGGCGGGGUAAUGGCCCACCAAGGGUACGAUGGGUAGCUGGUCUGAGAGGAUGAUCAGCCACACUGGAACUGAGACACGGUCCAGACUCCUACGGGAGGCAGCAGUGGGGAAUAUUGCGCAAUGGGGGGAAACCCUGACGCAGCCAGCCCGCGUGGGUGAUGAAGGCCUUCGGGUCGUAAAGCCCUGUCGGUGGGGAAGAAACCAAUGACGGUACCCGCCCAAGAAAGACACCGGCUAACUCCGUGCCAGCAGCCGCGGUAAU
RNAcentral lists this ribosomal RNA (465 nucleotides) under uncultured bacterium. RNAcentral describes it as "bacterial SSU rRNA". It matches the Rfam family "Bacterial small subunit ribosomal RNA", at positions 29 to 524 of the family's 1533-position model. The record is from RNAcentral.